CCCGGCGCGCUGGGUCCAGUGGUUCUUAACAGUUCAACAGUUCUGUAGCGCAAUUGUGAAAUGUUUAGGACCACUAGCCCCGGCGGGCCCGGCG
Non-coding RNA from Canis lupus familiaris (dog), 94 nucleotides. RefSeq annotates it as microRNA mir-203. The record is from RefSeq and is marked provisional. The transcript has a single exon. NCBI's taxonomy places the organism in Eukaryota, Metazoa, Chordata, Mammalia, Carnivora, Canidae.